ACUUUAAAGCUUUGAUUGAUUGAUUGAGACUUUUAUUAGUAGAUUGCACAGUUAAGUACAUAUUCCCUACAAUUGACCACUAAAUGGUAACACCCCAAUAAGUUUUUACACUUGUUUAAAAGUCGGGGUCCACGUAAAUCAAUUCAUGACUGAGAUUUCAACCGGAAGUAGAAGUGCCGUUCUGUCUUCUAGCUGUCCAUAACGUUUCUACUCGUAUGGAUUCUUCAUUCAUCAGUCCAAGCAACGUUUCGCUGCGGUACUUUGAUGGUCCACUGUCUCCCUGCACACUGAGUCUACAGGAAACAAGAAGGGUCCAGUAAAUGUUUUACACGUUCAGUGUGAAAUGAUCUUGCCUUGACCAUCUUAAAAAGGCACUAUCGAGAAGAGAGGGAGGGAAGGCAUGGUUAGCAGUGAUGGGUGCAAGACUCCAAAUACUCUGUAAGCCAGACGGAACCCAAACACCUUCCAUUAUCUAAUCUCACAGAUGGCAUGUUUGCAGGGGUUACCUUCCGAGACAACGCAAAUCUACCAUGGCCCCCCAAUCUUUUGAGCGGUAAAAAGGUUGGACUUUAGGGUUGAGGUGUACAGUUUCCAAGACAAUGGAACACAAACACAAACAUGAUGUUCACUUACAUGUUUGGAGAGGAGCUUCCCAUCUUUGUACUGCACUGUGCCGUUCUCAGCAAACACAUAGUCAAACUUGUGUAAGACUGCAGAAGAAGAGAGGUGUCAAUCAUGGCAAGGACUUCAGUCACACUUGUGUAAGACUGCAGAAGAAGAGAGGUGUCAAUCAUGGCAAGGACUUCUCCAAUACUACAAGUCUGAUGUUCACAGUUUGUAGAAAAACUAUAGUCAUUUCUAAUAACUUGCUAUUGGUGUGUAACAUGUUUAAUCUCGUCCUCCAGUGAUAAUGGUACCUGAUAAUGAUAAUUAUCAUUAUAAACCGCCGAUA
Molecule: long non-coding RNA, 952 nt
Organism: Nerophis lumbriciformis (worm pipefish)
Lineage: Eukaryota; Metazoa; Chordata; Actinopteri; Syngnathiformes; Syngnathidae
Source: RefSeq, a predicted model, not a curated record